RNAcentral lists this long non-coding RNA (344 nucleotides) under Meleagris gallopavo (turkey). RNAcentral's name for it is "lncRNA (ENSMGAG00000019465.1)". Lineage: Eukaryota; Metazoa; Chordata; Aves; Galliformes; Phasianidae. The record is from RNAcentral.
UUAGCGUUGCUAGGAGGCAAAUAUGCAUUUGAAUGAAAAGAGGUAGGAAGUGGUCUUGUCCAGAACUAAUUUGGUGGUAAACACUGCUUUAGAAUGCAAAUUUUCUUGAAGGAAACACUGAUCAUACAGACUACUUCUCCUCUGAAUAUGCACAGCCUUGCGGGUGUGGAUUGACUUGCCCUCCAGUGAGACUCCCUGGUUUCUGCUUCUCAACACAUCGUCUUCCAGAGGAGAGUUGACACAGUUGACUCUGGUUUGCCAUUCAUCCACUGCAGAUUCCAACAUUAUUCUAUAGACUUAUGAUUUGAGUUCAACGUACAUACUAAGUUAGCUAAAGCUAUUGG